This 6156-nucleotide long non-coding RNA is filed under the name Lactuca sativa (garden lettuce). RNAcentral describes it as "long non-coding RNA (LSAT_LNC010144)". Lineage: Eukaryota; Viridiplantae; Streptophyta; Magnoliopsida; Asterales; Asteraceae. The record is from RNAcentral.
UCCUUUCUAUUUGAAGAUGUCUAACAUAAACAACGCUACUGCUACCUCAUUCUCGCUAAUGAGCCUGUGUCAAAAGAUGACAUUUGAUGGACCGAACUUUAGCGAAUGGAUAAGAUACAUUCGCAUGAUUGCUCGCUACGAGGACAAAGAUAUGCCCUCGACGAGAAGCUCGAAAAUAUCAAUCCGGAAAUCGCUACUCCCGAAGAAAUGGCUGUCUUUGAGACCCAUGAGCGUGAUGCAAUGAAAUUCCAUUGCAUUAUGCUAGCCACAAUGAAUCCCGAACUCCAAAAGUCCUAUGAGGACAUGUAUCCGUACAAAAUGCAUCAAGACUUGAUGCAGAGAUAUCACCAAAGAGCAAGGCAAGAGCACUAUGAGAUCAUCACGAACAUGAUCACCGCUAAGAUGGGAAGUGGAGAGUCUCUAACCUUGCACUUGCAAAAGAUGCAAAGAUAUGUUGAUUGUCUUCGCAAGUUAAAUGUUAACUUUGGGGAAGAUUUGGCAAUCGACAUCGUUCUUCACUCCUUGCCCUCGUUCUACAACCAAUUUAGGAUGAUGUACCGCAUGAACAAGGAAGAGGUCACCCUAAGUAAACUCCAAGGGCUCCUAAGGACUGUUGAGAGCAACCUCAAGGAUAAGUCUGUUGCAUUAACUCCCACUCCACCCGCUGCUCCUGUUUUCGCUAUUAGGCAAGAGAGGGGCAAGAAGAGGAAGGCUUCUUCAAAGAGUUACUACAAGGGAAAGUCCCAAGAUGGUUCCUCCUCUAGUGGGACCAAAGUUGGUCCUGUCAAGCCCAACUCAAACCCAAAGGAGGCAGAGUGCCACCACUGCUACAAAAUAGGGCAUUAGAAGAGAAGCUGCCCGGAAUAUCUGCAACCCAUCAAGGAUGGGAAGAUCAAGCCAUCUUUCGCAGGUAUUUACACAAUUAAAUCUAAUGAUUCAUCGCAUGCUAUUUCUUGGGUUCUUGAUAUAGGAUGUGGUUAUCACAUAUGUUCUGAUUUGCAGGGACUAAGAAGAAAUAGGGAUGUGGAGCGUGAAAGAAUAAGUCUGAUCAUGGGGAACAAAAGAUCGUCGCCUGUCACCAAGAUUGGAGUGUAUUCUCUAGUGCUUAGUAAUGGAUUAGGUUUAGAUUUAAAUAAUUGUUGCUAUUCGCCAGAUAUGGCAAGAAACAUCAUUUCAUUUCAUGGUUUGUUUAAACAAGGAUUUAGAUAUUCGUUUAAUAAUGAUAAUGGUUCGAUUUGUGCUUAUCUAAAUGGUGAUUUAUAUUUUGAAGCAUUGCCUUGUAAUGGAAUUUAUGAAACCGUCAUGGUUCAAGAUAACCUAGGAAAUCAUGUAUUGUGUAUGAAUUCUUCCAAUAGUAUGGAUAAAGCAUGCUUGUGGCAUUUUCGUCUUGGACAUGUCAACGAGAAGCGCAUAGCCCAGCUCCAAAAGGAUGGAGUGUUGGAGUCGGUCGACCUUAGGGAAGAUGACACGUGCGAGUCUUGUUUUCUUGGAAAGAUGACCAAGUCACCCUUCACUGGCACUUGUGAGAGGGGUGAGGGUUUAUUGGAUCUCAUAUACACCGACGUGUGUGGGCGCUUUAGACCCACCAUAAAGGAUGUGAACCGCUUCUAUGUGACUUUCACCGAUGAUUAUAGUAGAUAUGGGUAUCCACUCUUACCCACCGCUUCCUUGAUUGGUGGAGGGUCGUUAGCCGAACGGGUAGGAUAGGGCAAUCCUCUCUUCAUUAAUAAGUAUAAUGAAUCUAUGUAAAGUAACUAAACGCUUUUACAAAUUCCCAAUCCUAGUUACUUUAGGCAAAAGUGAAAUUGAUGCAAUCCCAUGAAAUUGCACUUUGCACGCUUUCUAAGAAGUUAGUGGAGCGUGUGUGGUUAACCGGCACACUAAUUGGUUCUAAGCAAAGGUGGCAAAGGGUGACUCAUUGUUUGUCAUAGUUCGAUGAAGCGUGUGUGGUUUACCGGCACAUCGAAUAGGUGAUUGUAACAAUUAGGGCACCAUCUAGAUUUGCAUGGUUAUUCACACCCACUUUGUGAUCUUCGGCAUCCCAGUCACAAACGAGAGGGGCAUAUCGAGAUUUAAACAUGCCAUUGAAAAGUUCAAUCAAUCUCUAAGGAAAUUUAAGAAUUCUCAAUACAUUUAAAACUUGAGCAUUAUGUUUUUCAUGGUGAAGAAUUAGUGAAUCGUCAUUCACUUACCUCCAAAUUAUUUGAAUGUUGAAUUACGGCAUCCCUUUUCUAAUGUGUAAAUAAUGUUGUUGGGUCCUAGCCCUAAUUUUCCAUUUUGGGUGUUUAGUUAGGGAUUUAAUUCUAAUCAAACCUUGUUCCUUUCUAUUUGUAGAUGUCUAACGUAAACAACGCUGUUGCUACCUCAUUCUCGCUAAUGAGCAUGUGUCAAAAGAUGACAUUUGAUGGACCGAACUUUAGCGAAUGGAUAAGAUACAUUCGCAUGAUUGCUCGCUACGAGGACAAAGAUAUGCCCUCGACGAGAAGCUCGAAAAUAUCAAUCCGGAAAUCGCUACUCCCGAAGAAAUGGCUGUCUUUGAGACCCAUGAGCGUGAUGCAAUGAAAUUCCAUUGCAUUAUGCUAGCCACAAUGAAUCCCGAACUCCAAAAGUCCUAUGAGGACAUGUAUCCGUACAAAAUGCAUCAAGACUUGAUGCAGAGAUAUCACCAAAGAGCAAGGCAAGAGCACUAUGAGAUCAUCACGAACAUGAUCACCGCUAAGAUGGGAAGUGGAGAGUCUCUAACCUUGCACUUGCAAAAGAUGCAAAGAUAUGUUGAUUGUCUUCGCAAGUUAAAUGUUAACUUUGGGGAAGAUUUGGCAAUCGACAUCGUUCUUCACUCCUUGCCCUCGUUCUACAACCAAUUUAGGAUGAUGUACCGCAUGAACAAGGAAGAGGUCACCCUAAGUAAACUCCAAGGGCUCCUAAGGACUGUUGAGAGCAACCUCAAGGAUAAGUCUGUUGCAUUAACUCCCACUCCACCCGCUGCUCCUGUUUUCGCUAUUGGGCAAGAGAGGGGCAAGAAGAGGAAGGCUUCUUCAAAGAGCCACUACAAGGGAAAGUCCCAAGAUGGUUCCUCCUCUAGUGGGACCAAAGUUGGUCCUGUCAAGCCCAACUCAAACCCAAAGGAGGCAGAGUGCCACCACUGCUACAAAAUAGGGCAUUAGAAGAGAAGCUGCCCGGAAUAUCUGCAACCCAUCAAGGAUGGGAAGAUCAAGCCAUCUUUCGCAGGUAUUUACACAAUUAAAUCUAAUGAUUCAUCGCAUGCUAUUUCUUGGGUUCUUGAUAUAGGAUGUGGUUAUCACAUAUGUUCUGAUUUGCAGGGACUAAGAAGAAAUAGGGAUGUGGAGCGUGAAAGAAUAAGUCUGAUCAUGGGGAACAAAAGAUCGUCGCCUGUCACCAAGAUUGGAGUGUAUUCUCUAGUGCUUAGUAAUGGAUUAGGUUUAGAUUUAAAUAAUUGUUGCUACUCGCCAGAUAUGGCAAGAAACAUCAUUUCAUUUCAUGGUUUGUUUAAACAAGGAUUUAGAUAUUCGUUUAAUAAUGAGAAUGGUUCGAUUUGUGCUUAUCUAAAUGGUGAUUUAUAUUUUGAAGCAUUGCCUUGUAAUGGAAUUUAUGAAACUGUCAUGGUUCAAGAUAACCUAGGAAAUGAUGUAUUGUGUAUGAAUUCUUCCAAUAGUAUGGAUAAAGCAUGCUUGUGGCAUUUUCGUCUUGGACAUGUCAACGAGAAGCGCAUAGCCCAGCUCCAAAAGGAUGGAGUGUUGGAGUCGGUCGACCUUAGGGAAGAUGACACGUGCGAGUCUUGUUUUCUUGGAAAGAUGACCAAGUCACCCUUCACUGGCACUUGUGAGAGGGGUGAGGGUUUAUUGGAUCUCAUAUACACCGACGUGUGUGGGCGCUUUAGACCCACCAUAAAGGAUGUGAACCGCUUCUAUGUGACUUUCACCGAUGAUUAUAGUAGAUAUGGGUAUCCACUCUUACCCACCGCUUCCUUGAUUAGUGGAGGGUCGUUAGCCGAACGGGUAGGAUAGGGCAAUCCUCUCUUCAUUAAUAAGUAUAAUGAAUCUAUGUAAAGUAACUAAUCGCUUUUACAAAUUCCCAAUCCUAGUUACUUUAGGCAAACGUGAAAUUGAUGCAAUCCCAUGAAAUUGCACUUUGCACGCUUUCUAAGAAGUUAGUGGAGCGUGUGUGGUUAACCGGCACACUAAUUGGUUCUAAGCAAAGGUGGCAAAGGGUGACUCAUUGUUUGUCAUAGUUCGAUGAAGCGUGUGUGGUUUACCGGCACAUCGAAUAGGUGAUUGUAACAAUUAGGGCACCAUCUAGAUUUGCAUGGUUAUUCACACCCACUUUGUGAUCCUCGGCAUCCCAGUCACAAACGAGAGGGGCAUAUCGAGAUUUAAACAUGCCAUUGAAAAGUUCAAUCAAUCUCUAAGGAAAUUUAGGAAUUCUCAAUACAUUUAAAACUUGAGCAUUAUGUUUUUCAUGGUGAAGAAUUAGUGAAUCGUCAUUCACUUACCUCCAAAUUAUUUGAAUGUUGAAUUACGGCAUCCCUUUUCUAAUGUGUAAAUAAUGUUGUUGGGUCCUAGCCCUAAUUUUCCAUUUUGGGUGUUUAGUUAGGGAUUUAAUUCUAAUCAAACCUUGUUCCUUUCUAUUUGUAGAUGUCUAACAUAAACAACGCUGCUGCUACCUCAUUCUCGCUAAUGAGCCUGUGUCAAAAGAUGACAUUUGAUGGACCGAACUUUAGCGAAUGGAUAAGAUACAUUCGCAUGAUUGCUCGCUACGAGGACAAAGAUAUGCCCUCGACGAGAAGCUUGAAAAUAUCAAUCCGGAAAUCGCUACUCCCGAAGAAAUGGCUGUCUUUGAGACCCAUGAGCGUGAUGCAAUGAAAUUCCAUUGCAUUAUGCUAGCCACAAUGAAUCCCGAACUCCAAAAGUCCUAUGAGGACAUGUAUCCGUACAAAAUGCAUCAAGACUUGAUGCAGAGAUAUCACCAAAGAGCAAGGCAAGAGAACUAUGAGAUCAUCACGAACAUGAUCACCGCUAAGAUGGGAAGUGGAGUGUCUCGAACCUUGCACUUGCAAACGAUGCAGAGAUAUGUUGAUUGUCUUCGCAAGUUAAAUAUUAACUUUGGGGAAGAUUUGGCAAUCGACAUCGUUCUUCACUCCUUUCCCUCGUUCUACAACCAAUUUAGGAUGAUGUACCGCAUGAACAAGGAAGAGGUCACCCUAAGUAAACUCCAAGGGCUCCUAAUGACUGUUGAGAGCAACCUCAAGGAUAAGCCUGUUGCAUUAACUCCCAGUCCACCCGCUGCUCCUGUUUUCGCUAUUGGGCAAGAGAGAGGCAAGAAGAGGAAGGCUUCUUCAAAGAGGCACUACAAGGGAAAGUCCCAAGAUGGUUCCUCCUCUAGUGGGACCAAAGUUGGUCCUGUCAAGCCCAACUCAAACCCAAAGGAGGAAGAGUGCCACCACUGCUACAAAAUAGGGCAUUAGAAGAGAAGCUGCCCGGAAUAUCUGCAACCCAUCAAGGAUGGGAAGAUCAAGCCAUCUUUCGCAGGUAUUUACACAAUUAAAUCUAAUGAUUCAUCGCAUGCUAUUUCUUGGGUUCUUGAUAUAGGAUGUGGUUAUCACAUAUGUUCUGAUUUGCAGGGACUAAGAAGAAAUAGGGAUGUGGAGCCUGAAAGAAUAAGUCUGAUCAUGGGGAACAAAAGAUCAUCGCCUGUCACCAAGAUUGAAGUGUAUUCUCUAGUGCUUAGUAAUCGAUUAGGUUUAGAUUUAAAUAAUUGUUGCUACUCGCCAGAUAUGGCAAGAAACAUCAUUUCAUUUCAUGGUUUGUUUAAACAAGGAUUUAAAUAUUCGUUUAAUCAUGAGAAUGGUUCGAUUUGUCNUUAUCUAAAUGGUGAUUUAUAUUUUGAAGCAUUGCCUUGUAAUGGAAUUUAUGAAACUGUCAUGGUUCAAGAUAACCUAGGAAAUGAUGUAUUGUGUAUGAAUUCUUCCAAUAGUAUGGAUAAAGCAUGCUUGUGGCAUUGUCGUCUUGGACAUGUCAGCGAGAAGCGCAUAGACCAGCUCCAAAAGGAUGGAGUGUUGGAGUCAGUCGACCUUAGGGAAGAUGACACGUACGCGUCUUCUUUUCUUGGAAAGAUGACCAAGUCACCCUUCACUGGCAC